AGUGAACGCUGGCGGUAGGCCUAACACAUGCAAGUCGAACGGCAGCACAGUAAGAGCUUGCUCGUACGGGUGGCGAGUGGCGGACGGGUGAGGAAUACAUCGGAAUCUACUUUUUCGGGGGGGAUAACGUAGGGAAACUUACGCUAAUACCGCAGACGACCUACGGGUGAAAGCAGGGGAUCUUCGGACCUUGCGCGAUUGAAUGAGCCGAUGUCGGAUUAGCUAGUUGGCGGGGUAAAGGCCCACCAAGGCGACGAUCCGUAGCUGGUCUGAGAGGAUGAUCAGCCACACUGGAACUGAGACACGGUCCAGACUCCUACGGGAGGCAGCAGUGGGGAAUAUUCGGCAAUGGGCGCAAGCCUGAUCCAGCCAUGCCGCGUGAGUGAAGAAGGCCUUCGGGUUGUAAAGCCCUUUUGUUGGGAAAGAAAAGCAGCAGGUUAAUCCCCCGCUGUUCUGACGGUACCCAAAGAAUAAGCACCGGCUAACUUCGUG
RNAcentral lists this ribosomal RNA (492 nucleotides) under uncultured bacterium. Its description in RNAcentral is "partial 16S ribosomal RNA". It matches the Rfam family "Bacterial small subunit ribosomal RNA", at positions 29 to 507 of the family's 1533-position model. The record is from RNAcentral.